UUCAAAGAGUGCGUAAUAGCUCACUAGUCGAGUGACCCUGCGCCGAAAAUGUACCGGGGCUAAAACAUAUUACCGAAGCUGUGGAUGACACAAAAGUGUCAUGGUAGGAGAGCGUUCUAUGUGUGAAGAAGGUGUACCGUGAGGAGCGCUGGAACGCAUAGAAGUGAGAAUGCCGGUAUGAGUAGCGCAAGACAGGUGAGAAUCCUGUCCACCGUAAGACUAAGGUUUCCAGGGGAAGGCUCGUCCGCCCUGGGUUAGUCGGGACCUAAGGAGAGACCGAAAGGUGUAUCCGAUGGACAACAGGUUGAUAUUCCUGUACUAGAGUAUAUAGUGAUGGAGGGACGCAGUAGGCUAACUAAACCAGACGAUUGGAAGUGUCUGGUCAAACAGUGAGGUGUGAUAUGAGUCAAAUGCUUAUAUCUUUAACAUUGAGCUGUGACGAGGAGCGAAGUUUAGUAGCGAAGUUAGUGAUGUCACACUGCCAAGAAAAGCUUCUAGCGAUACAUAUACUCUACCCGUACCGCAAACCGACACAGGUAGUCGAGGCGAGUAGCCUCAGGUGAGCGAGAGAACUCUCGUUAAGGAACUCGGCAAAAUGGCCCCGUAACUUCGGGAGAAGGGGCGCUGAUUUUAGAUCAGCCGCAGUGAAUAGGCCCAAGCAACUGUUUAUCAAAAACACAGCUCUCUGCUAAAUCGUAAGAUGAUGUAUAGGGGGUGACGCCUGCCCGGUGCUGGAAGGUUAAGAGGAGUGCUUAGCGUAAGCGAAGGUAUGAAUUGAAGCCCCAGUAAACGGCGGCCGUAACUAUAACGGUCCUAAGGUAGCGAAAUUCCUUGUCGGGUAAGUUCCGACCCGCACGAAAGGCGUAAUGAUUUGGGCACUGUCUCAACGAGAGACUCGGUGAAAUUUUAGUACCUGUGAAGAUGCAGGUUACCCGCGACAGGACGGAAAGACCCCAUGGAGCUUUACUGCAGUUUGAUAUUGAGUAUCUGUACCACAUGUACAGGAUAGGUA
This 1012-nucleotide ribosomal RNA is filed under the name Streptococcus agalactiae. RNAcentral describes it as "partial 23S ribosomal RNA". It matches the Rfam family "Bacterial large subunit ribosomal RNA", at positions 1122 to 2149 of the family's 2925-position model. The record is from RNAcentral. Lineage: Bacteria; Bacillati; Bacillota; Bacilli; Lactobacillales; Streptococcaceae.